This is a small nuclear RNA of Suncus etruscus (white-toothed pygmy shrew), 111 nucleotides long. NCBI's taxonomy places the organism in Eukaryota, Metazoa, Chordata, Mammalia, Eulipotyphla, Soricidae. The record is from RefSeq and is a predicted model, not a curated record.
GUGCUUGCUUCGGCAGCACAUAUACUAAAAUUGGAACAAUACAGAGAAAAAUAGCAUGGCCCCUGCGCAAAGAUUACAUGCAAAUUUGUGAAUUCCAUAUAAAAAUUUUUU